Molecule: ribosomal RNA, 710 nt
Filed under: Salmonella enterica
Lineage: Bacteria; Pseudomonadati; Pseudomonadota; Gammaproteobacteria; Enterobacterales; Enterobacteriaceae
Description: bacterial SSU rRNA
Rfam family: Bacterial small subunit ribosomal RNA
Source: RNAcentral
UGAAGAGUUUGAUCAUGGCUCAGAUUGAACGCUGGCGGCAGGCCUAACACAUGCAAGUCGAACGGUAACAGGAAGCAGCUUGCUGCUUUGCUGACGAGUGGCGGACGGGUGAGUAAUGUCUGGGAAACUGCCUGAUGGAGGGGGAUAACUACUGGAAACGGUGGCUAAUACCGCAUAACGUCGCAAGACCAAAGAGGGGGACCUUCGGGCCUCUUGCCAUCAGAUGUGCCCAGAUGGGAUUAGCUUGUUGGUGAGGUAACGGCUCACCAAGGCGACGAUCCCUAGCUGGUCUGAGAGGAUGACCAGCCACACUGGAACUGAGACACGGUCCAGACUCCUACGGGAGGCAGCAGUGGGGAAUAUUGCACAAUGGGCGCAAGCCUGAUGCAGCCAUGCCGCGUGUAUGAAGAAGGCCUUCGGGUUGUAAAGUACUUUCAGCGGGGAGGAAGGUGUUGUGGUUAAUAACCGCAGCAAUUGACGUUACCCGCAGAAGAAGCACCGGCUAACUCCGUGCCAGCAGCCGCGGUAAUACGGAGGGUGCAAGCGUUAAUCGGAAUUACUGGGCGUAAAGCGCACGCAGGCGGUCUGUCAAGUCGGAUGUGAAAUCCCCGGGCUCAACCUGGGAACUGCAUUCGAAACUGGCAGGCUUGAGUCUUGUAGAGGGGGGUAGAAUUCCAGGUGUAGCGGUGAAAUGCGUAGAGAUCUGGAGG